RNAcentral lists this small RNA (913 nucleotides) under Pongo abelii (Sumatran orangutan). RNAcentral's name for it is "retained intron". Lineage: Eukaryota; Metazoa; Chordata; Mammalia; Primates; Hominidae. The record is from RNAcentral.
AGAAGUGGUUCUCAUCCUUUUUUGCAGCUUAAGAUCUGCCUUGGUAUUUGAAGAGAUCUAAACUACAUCAAUUUCUUUUACAGGAUCAACUAAACAGUGUACCACAAUGAAUUCUGAACUUGACUAUUAUGAAAAUUUUGAAGAAGUCCAUGGGAUUCUAAUGUAUAAAGAUUUUGUCAAAUAUUGGGAUAAUGUGGAAGAAUUCCAGGCAAGACCAGAUGAUCUUGUCAUUGCCACCUACCCUAAAUCUGGUACAACCUGGGUUAGUGAAAUUGUGUAUAUGAUCUAUAAAGAGGGUGAUGUGGAAAAGUGCAAAGAAGAUGUAAUUUUUAAUCGAAUACCUUUCCUGGAAUGCAGAAAAGAAAACCUCAUGAAUGGAGUAAAACAAUUAGAUGAGAUGAAUUCUCCAAGAAUUGUGAAGACUCAUUUGCCACCUGAACUUCUUCCUGCCUCAUUUUGGGAAAAGAAUUGUAAGAUAAUCUAUCUUUGCCGGAAUGCAAAGGAUGUGGCUGUUUCCUUUUAUUAUUUCUUUCUAAUGGUGGCUGGUCAUCCAAAUCCUGGAUCCUUUCCAGAGUUUGUGGAGAAAUUCAUGCAAGGACAGGGUAGGAAUAGCUUCUUUACACUGAAUUUUUCUCAAGGUGAUAUAAGACAAAUGCCAUCUCCGAGUAGAAGUUUUUAUCUGUUCUGGUAUGUUUUCUUCCGUGAUUCAUAGUUAAAACACAGAAAUUCUAAAGGUGCCUGGAGGUUUAGAGCAAGCAUACUGUGUCCAGAUGUAGAUGGCGAAUUGCAGAAUCUGAGCACUCUGGUCCAACACCUAAAAAUAAAUAUAUAGAAGUAUGUUUGGGGGCUGGGGGUAGUAAUUUUACUCUCCAAGAUUGAGACUCAGUGUCUGAUUUUCUGCCUUGUCUCUUUU